AGUGAACGCUGGCGGCGUGCCUAAUACAUGCAAGUCGAACGGAGUGGCGCACGGGUGAGUAAUGUAUAGCUAAUCUGCCCUACACUAGAGGACAACAGUUGGAAACGACUGCUAAUACUCUAUAGUGUAGGAUGAGGCUAUAUUGUAUCAGCUAGUUGGUGAGGUAAUGGCUCACCAAGGUUAUGACGCAUAACUGGCCUGAGAGGAUGAUCAGUCACGCUGGAACUGAGACACAGGCCAGACUCCUACGGAAGGCAGGAGUAGGGAAUAUUGCUCAAUGGGGGAAAUCCUGAAGCAGCACGGCCGCGUGAAGGAUGACACUUGUGAGAACGUAAACUCCUUUUGUUAGGGAAGCGGUACCUAACGAAUAAGCAACGGCUAACUCCGUGCCAGCAGCCGCGGUAAUAC
RNAcentral lists this ribosomal RNA (408 nucleotides) under uncultured bacterium. RNAcentral's name for it is "partial 16S ribosomal RNA". It matches the Rfam family "Bacterial small subunit ribosomal RNA", at positions 29 to 526 of the family's 1533-position model. The record is from RNAcentral.